GGGAAACUCACCAGGUCCAGACAUAAUAAGGAUUGACAGAUUGAUAGCUCUUUCUUGAUUUUAUGGGUGGUGGUGCAUGGCCGUUCUUAGUUCGUGGAGUGAUUUGUCUGCUUAAUUGCGUUAACGAACGAGACCUUAACCUGCUAAAUAGGAGCGCCUAUCUUCGGAUAAGCGCCUUUCUUCUUAGAGGGACGUCGCGUGUCUAACGCGAGGAGGUGUGAGGCAAUAA
RNAcentral lists this ribosomal RNA (229 nucleotides) under uncultured eukaryote. Its description in RNAcentral is "partial 18S ribosomal RNA". It matches the Rfam family "Eukaryotic small subunit ribosomal RNA", at positions 1208 to 1456 of the family's 1831-position model. The record is from RNAcentral.